RNAcentral lists this ribosomal RNA (168 nucleotides) under Triticum aestivum (bread wheat). RNAcentral's name for it is "partial small subunit ribosomal RNA". Lineage: Eukaryota; Viridiplantae; Streptophyta; Magnoliopsida; Poales; Poaceae. The record is from RNAcentral.
AUGGUUUUCGGUGGCGGCUUCAAAUUUUUAGUGGGAGUGGGAUGUGGCGUCUAUGUGGCUCAGAACUACAACGUUCCAAAUGUCAAGAAGCUGUUCAACACGUAUGUUUUCCUGGCAAAGCACGUUGAGGAAACGUACCGUAAGCCGCCGAAGAAAGACGACGACUGA